GCAUCUGUAGCCUAGUUGGUAAAGGAAACACUCUUGUAUGUGACUCAGCGUUGCUGAGGUUGUGAGUUCAAAUCUCACCAGGCACA
RNAcentral lists this transfer RNA (86 nucleotides) under Puccinia graminis f. sp. tritici. It matches the Rfam family "tRNA". Rfam says of the family: Transfer RNA (tRNA) molecules are approximately 80 nucleotides in length. Their secondary structure includes four short double-helical elements and three loops (D, anti-codon, and T loops). The record is from Rfam by way of RNAcentral. RNAcentral also lists the same sequence under 1 other name. Lineage: Eukaryota; Fungi; Basidiomycota; Pucciniomycetes; Pucciniales; Pucciniaceae.